GAUCCGGCUCAGGAUGAACGCUGGCGGCGUGCCUAACACAUGCAAGUCGAGCGAUUCUCUUCGGAGAAGAGCGGCGGACGGGUGAGUAACGCGUGGGUAACCUGCCCUAUACACACGGAUAACAUACCGAAAGGUAUGCUAAUACGAGAUAACAUAAGAGAUUCGCAUGGAUUUCUUAUCAAAGCUUUUGCGGUAUAGGAUGGACCCGCGUCUGAUUAGCUAGUUGGUGAGGUAACAG
Molecule: ribosomal RNA, 238 nt
Filed under: uncultured bacterium
Lineage: Bacteria
Description: partial 16S ribosomal RNA
Rfam family: Bacterial small subunit ribosomal RNA
Source: RNAcentral